CUCGUAGGCGGUUCCGUAAGUUGGGAGUUAAAUCUCUGGGCUCAACCCAGAGUCGCUCCCAAUACUGCGGUGACUCGAGUCCGGUAGGGGAGAUUGGAAUUCCUGGUGUAGCGGUGGAAUGCGCAGAUAUCAGGAGGAACACCAACAGCGAAGGCAGAUCUCUGGGCCGGUACUGACGCUGAGGAGCGAAAGCGUGGGGAGCGAACA
RNAcentral lists this ribosomal RNA (207 nucleotides) under uncultured bacterium. RNAcentral describes it as "partial 16S ribosomal RNA". It matches the Rfam family "Bacterial small subunit ribosomal RNA", at positions 568 to 774 of the family's 1533-position model. The record is from RNAcentral.